This is a long non-coding RNA of Mustela erminea (ermine), 223 nucleotides long. RefSeq lists it as uncharacterized. The record is from RefSeq and is a predicted model, not a curated record. Lineage: Eukaryota; Metazoa; Chordata; Mammalia; Carnivora; Mustelidae. The transcript is spliced from 3 exons.
AUAGGAAGCCUCACUUUAAAAUGGAGCAGGGAAGACAGCGCGGGAGCUCACACCAGGGUCGGCACACUACAACCCAAACGUGUCAAGAAGAAAAUCUCGGGGGCGGAUUCGAGAAUAACUGAUCUUUGGAAGAAGACUACCAAACCAAAAACUUCAGAUCGAACCAGUGAUGAUGUGGAGAAUUUUGACUCCUGACAGUAAAACAAGAUUCAUUUUUUUGAUA